Vitis vinifera (wine grape) is the source of this 546-nucleotide long non-coding RNA. RefSeq lists it as uncharacterized. The record is from RefSeq and is a predicted model, not a curated record. NCBI's taxonomy places the organism in Eukaryota, Viridiplantae, Streptophyta, Magnoliopsida, Vitales, Vitaceae. The transcript is spliced from 2 exons.
UCUUUCAGAUUUCUAAAUGCCUCAUUUCCACAUUUUUCCAAGAAGCUAACUUUCUACAAUCCUAAUGAAGGUGGAGAUUCUGAGUUGCCCAAAUUUGGAGUUCAAACUAAAUGCAUGUUGUCAAAUGCAAAUGUAGAACAUCACUUCUCUUGAAUACCGAUUUCAAGUGGUAGAGAAGGGGAUAAUGCACCACAACAUAUUUCUUGUACAUCUUGCAAGGAUGCUCUACCAUAAUGAUCAAAAGAAACAAAGUAGCCAAAACUAAGCAAUGAGACGAGGAGAAAGAAGAGGGGAAGGAGAGAAAGCAACCUAAUGCAAAGAUGCAUCAAAUUGUUGUGUCUUGACAAAGGGAUGAAGAGAUGGAGAACACAAGAUGCUGCUUUUUGGUAAUAGGAGAAAGUCAUGAAGAUAAAUUGUUUGGCUUGACCAAGAGAGGAAGAAACAAAGAAAAAAGAAUCCAAGGUUCAUUAGAGGAUACUGGUGCGACAUUACACCCAUGUAAAUAUAAACCAACUGUCAAUGCCACAUUGAAUAAGGUUCACAUGA